This 301-nucleotide ribosomal RNA is filed under the name uncultured bacterium. Its description in RNAcentral is "partial 16S ribosomal RNA". It matches the Rfam family "Bacterial small subunit ribosomal RNA", at positions 509 to 807 of the family's 1533-position model. The record is from RNAcentral.
CAGUAGCCACGGUAAUACGUAGGGUGCAAGCGUUAAUCGGAAUUACUGGGCGUAAAGCGUGCGCAGGCGGUUAUAUAAGUCAGAUGUAAAAUCCCCGGGCUCAACCUGGGAACUGCAUUUGUGACUGUAGAGCUGGAGUGCGGCAGAGGGGGAUGGAAUUCCGCGUGUAGCAGUGAAAUGCGUAGAUAUGCGGAGGAACACCGGUGGCGAAGGCAAUCCCCUGGGCCUGCACUGACGCUCAUGCACGAAAGCGUGGGGAGCGAACAGGAUUAGAUACCCGCGUAGUCCCUGUCUCUUAUAC